This is a long non-coding RNA of Halichondria panicea, 901 nucleotides long. RefSeq lists it as uncharacterized. The transcript is spliced from 3 exons. The record is from RefSeq and is a predicted model, not a curated record. Lineage: Eukaryota; Metazoa; Porifera; Demospongiae; Suberitida; Halichondriidae.
GUUCGGAAACCUUUUUCCAGUGGCUUACUGGAAUACCGGAAGAACCUAAUCACUGCGGUACUGGGUUUAGGUUCUCAAUAGCCUCGAUUCCAGGCCGCUCUCAAUUGAGAAAGGGCUGGGAUCAAGGCUAAGUUCUGCAUGCAGACCAGCCCCUCCCCUUACUUAAAAGAAGAUUUUUAAGCAACCACAUGUAGAUAUAGCCAUCAAGGUGCCUUUCUUUCAUUGUCGGUUUUACCUGUGACUAUUUCUAUGGAAGCUGUAAGAACUGAAUGUGCCCCUUUCUCCACUUCAACAACUACAAUAUUGCUGUCGCUGUACCGAAAGGGUAUGACAGGUUGGGGAAAAAAAAGCAACCAUUCCUGGAAAUGGCAAAGGACCGUACAGGCCUCAACGAGAAGCAGAUAAGGAACUGGAUACGCCGAGAAAACAUGAAAAUUAAGCAUGGUGGCAUUGAUGCGAAUGAAUCUGGUCCCUCUGAUCAGUACAACAUUCCGAAGAAGUCAAGCGGGCCAUGGCACCAAUUUCUAAAAGAGUACGGAAAAUCUGAAGGUGGAAAGAGUGCCAUUGCAACCGCUGGAAAUCCAGGUGUUUUUAACAAGGAAGCCAGUGAAGCUUAUAAUAACUUGUCUAGCGAUGAGAAACAAGCUCUGAGAGAAUGUUCUGAAACGAAUGAGCGACUCUCCCAUAAAGGUGUCCUAAAAGAAGCUGAGAAACGUUUUCGGAAGAUUCAGAAGCUGGUAUGUUAAUUAUAUAUACGUGUAUAUACGCAUACAGCACAUUAUAAUUAUAUUUGAACCACGCAGAGCACCUAAUUAUAAAACCAUACCGUAUAUAGCGGGUAAUUUGGGGAGCCUAUAUAAUUAUAUUGUUUGGCGAUUGAAGUAUUAUUGCCGAUUUUUAA